Molecule: ribosomal RNA, 1520 nt
Filed under: uncultured bacterium
Lineage: Bacteria
Description: bacterial SSU rRNA
Rfam family: Bacterial small subunit ribosomal RNA
Source: RNAcentral
AGAGUUUGAUCAUGGCUCAGGAUGAACGCUAGCGGCAGGCUUAACACAUGCAAGUCGAGGGGCAGCGCGGAGGUAGCAAUACAUCUGGCGGCGACCGGCGGAAGGGUGCGUAACGCGUGAGCAACAUGCCCGUGGCAGGGGGAUAAGCGAUGGAAACGUCGUCUAAGACCCCGUAACAACAGAGUUCGCAUGGACUUUGUUUGAAAGCUUCGGCGGCCACGGAUUGGCUCGCGUCCCAUUAGGCAGUUGGCGGGGUGACGGCCCACCAAACCGACGAUGGGUAGGGGUUCUGAGAGGAAGGUCCCCCACAAUGGAACUGAGACACGGUCCAUACUCCUACGGGAGGCAGCAGUGAGGAAUAUUGGUCAAUGGGCGGAAGCCUGAACCAGCCAUGCCGCGUGCAGGAAUAAGGCCCUACGGGUCGUAAACUGCUUUUGUACGGGAGCAAUAAGGGUCACGCGUGGCCUGAUGAGAGUACCGUACGAAUAAGCAUCGGCUAACUCCGUGCCAGCAGCCGCGGUAAUACGGAGGAUGCGAGCGUUAUCCGGAUUCAUUGGGUUUAAAGGGUGCGUAGGCGGCGUGCCAAGUCAGGGGUGAAAGGUUCCGGCUCAACUGGGACAGUGCCUUUGAUACUGGUGUGCUGGAGUGCGCUUGCCGUGGGAGGAAUGAGUGGUGUAGCGGUGAAAUGCUUAGAUAUCACUCAGAACACCGAUUGCGAAGGCAUCUCACGAAGGCGUAACUGACGCUGAGGCACGAAAGCGUGGGGAUCAAACAGGAUUAGAUACCCUGGUAGUCCACGCCGUAAACGAUGAUGACUAACCGCCGGUCCGCUAGGGUCGGUGGCCAAGCGAAAGCGAUAAGUCAUCCACCUGGGGAGUACGACCGCAAGGUUGAAACUCAAAGGAAUUGACGGGGGCCCGCACAAGCGGAGGAACAUGUGGUUUAAUUCGAUGAUACGCGAGGAACCUUACCCGGGCUCGAACGGCAAGUGAAGAGAUCCAGAGAUGGUGACGCCCUUCGGGGCACUUGUCGAGGUGCUGCAUGGUUGUCGUCAGCUCGUGCCGUGAGGUGUCGGCUCAAGUGCCAUAACGAGCGCAACCCCUGCCUCCAGUUACCAGCACGUAAUGGUGGGGACUCUGGAGGGACUGCCACCGCAAGGUGAGAGGAAGGGGAGGAUGACGUCAAAUCAGCACGGCCCUUACGUCCGGGGCGACACACGUGUUACAAUGGCGGCCACAGAGGGAUGCUACCCUGCGAGGGGAUGCGGAUCUCGAAAAGCCGUCUCAGUUCGGAUCGGAGUCUGCAACUCGACUCCGUGAAGCUGGAUUCGCUAGUAAUCGCGCAUCAGCCAUGGCGCGGUGAAUACGUUCCCGGGCCUUGUACACACCGCCCGUCAAGCCAUGGAAGCCGGGGGCGCCUGAAGUUCGUGACCGCGAGGAGCGACCUAGGGCGAAACUGGUAACUGGGGCUAAGUCGUAACAAGGUAGCCGUACCGGAAGGUGUGGCUGGAACACCUCCUU